RNAcentral lists this ribosomal RNA (592 nucleotides) under uncultured Basidiomycota. Its description in RNAcentral is "LSU rRNA". It matches the Rfam family "Eukaryotic large subunit ribosomal RNA", at positions 69 to 635 of the family's 3401-position model. The record is from RNAcentral. Lineage: Eukaryota; Fungi; Basidiomycota.
CAAGGAUUCCCGUAGUAACGGCGAGUGAAGUGGGAAAAGCUCAAAUUUGAAAUCUGAUGGGCCUAUUUUGGCUUGUCCGAGUUGUAAUCUAGAGAAGCGUCUUUCCGUUGCUGGACCGUGUACAAGUCUCUUGGAAUAGAGCGUCGUAGAGGGUGAGAAUCCCGUCUUUGACACGGACUGCCAGUACAUCUGUGAUGCGCUCUCGAAGAGUCGAGUUGUUUGGGAAUGCAGCUCAAAAUGGGUGGUAAAUUCCAUCUAAAGCUAAAUAUUGGCGAGAGACCGAUAGCGAACAAGUACCGUGAGGGAAAGAUGAAAAGAACUUUGGAAAGAGAGUUAAACAGUACGUGAAAUUGUUGAAAGGGAAACGCUUGGAGUCAGUCACGUCGGGCAGGGAUCAACCUUGCGACUUGUUGCUUGGUGUACUCUCUGUUUAUACCGACGGGUCAGCAUCAAUUUUGACUGUCGGACAAAGUCCAUCGGAAUGUGACAUUUCCUUGUGAGAUGUGUUAUAGCCUUUGGUCGUAUACGAUGGUUGGGAUUGAGGUACUCGGCACGCCUGUAAUGGGUUGUUGCUCAAGGAUGCUGGCAUAAU